This 253-nucleotide ribosomal RNA is filed under the name uncultured bacterium. RNAcentral describes it as "partial 16S ribosomal RNA". It matches the Rfam family "Bacterial small subunit ribosomal RNA", at positions 524 to 776 of the family's 1533-position model. The record is from RNAcentral.
UACAGAGGUCUCAAGCGUUGUUCGGAUUCAUUGGGCGUAAAGGGUGUGUAGGUGGCGCGCUAAGUCGGGUGUGAAAUUUCGGAGCUUAACUCCGAAACUGCAUUCGAUACUGGCGUGCUUGAGGACUGGAGAGGAGACUGGAAUUCAUGGUGUAGCAGUGAAAUGCGUAGAUAUCGGGAGGAACACCAGUGGCGAAGGCGACUUCCUGGCCUGUUCUUGACGCUGAGGCGCGAAAGCUAGGGGAGCAAACGGG